This 359-nucleotide long non-coding RNA is filed under the name Ananas comosus (pineapple). RNAcentral describes it as "long non-coding RNA (ACOM_LNC042930)". Lineage: Eukaryota; Viridiplantae; Streptophyta; Magnoliopsida; Poales; Bromeliaceae. The record is from RNAcentral.
CUUAUCUCAGGUCUAAGAAGGUUAAUUCACAGCUAAUUAACUCAUCAAUAAUAGCUGAAUUCUCAGUUUAGAACAGCCAAGAGCAAAAAUCUGAAAUCGCUACUCAAAUCGACGAAUAGAACGUCGAUAACGGAAAAAUCAAGUCGUUUACCUUCUCAAGCUUCCAACCAGCACCUCACUGGUCCAGGGCUGCGAAAAUCCCUCCAAAACGCUCUCUUGCACGUGCACAAAGGUGCUGCGACGCUCGCAACCAGCGAAGAACGCGCGCGGCGACGAAAACGAGCGAAAUCGGCGAAUUCGAUGUAGAGAGAGAAAAACCCUAGAGAGAGAGAGAGAGAUGAAGAAGAAGGGUGCUCUGA